This 858-nucleotide ribosomal RNA is filed under the name Scolecobasidium ailanthi. RNAcentral describes it as "Ochroconis ailanthi partial large subunit ribosomal RNA". It matches the Rfam family "Eukaryotic large subunit ribosomal RNA", at positions 50 to 925 of the family's 3401-position model. Lineage: Eukaryota; Fungi; Ascomycota; Dothideomycetes; Venturiales; Sympoventuriaceae. The record is from RNAcentral.
GCGGAGGAAAAGAAACCAACAGGGAUUGCCUCAGUAACGGCGAGUGAAGCGGCAACAGCUCAAAUUUGAAAUCUGGGGCCUUCGGCUCCCGAGUUGUAAUUUGUAGAGGAUGCCUCGGGGGGUGCUUCGGCCCAAGUUCCUUGGAACAGGAUACCACAGAGGGUGAGAGUCCCGUAUCCGGCCGGCAGUGCCCUCCGCGCGAGGCUCCUUCGACGAGUCGAGUUGUUUGGGAAUGCAGCUCUAAGCGGGUGGUAAAUUCCAUCUAAAGCUAAAUACUGGCCAGAGACCGAUAGCGAACAAGUAGAGUGAUCGAAAGAUGAAAAGCACUUUGAAAAGAGAGUCAAACAGUACGUGAAAUUGUUGAAAGGGAAGCGUAUGGGGGCAGACUUGGCCGCGGGGUUCAGGGUGUCUUUUGGCGCCUGUACUUCCCCGUGGGCAGGCCAGCAUCGGUUUUGGGGGUUGGAUAAAGGCGUCGGGAAUGUGGCUCCCCUCGGGGAGUGUUAUAGCCCGUCGCGCAAUGCAGCCACCCGGGAUCGAGGACCGCGCUUCGGCAAGGAUGCUGGCGUAAUGGCCUCAUACGGCCCGUCUUGAAACACGGACCAAGGAGUCUAACAUCUAUGCGAGUGUUUGGGUGUCAAGCCCGAGCGCGCAAUGAAAGUGAACGGAGGUGGGAGCCCGUAAAAAGGCGCACCAUCGACCGAUCCUGACGUCUUCUGAGGGAUUUGAGUAAGAGCAUAGCUGUUGGGACCCGAAAGAUGGUGAACUAUGCGUGAAUAGGGUGAAGCCAGAGGAAACUCUGGUGGAGGCUCGCAGCGGUUCUGACGUGCAAAUCGAUCGUCAAAUUUGCGUAUAGGGGCG